Molecule: ribosomal RNA, 468 nt
Filed under: uncultured bacterium
Lineage: Bacteria
Description: partial 16S ribosomal RNA
Rfam family: Bacterial small subunit ribosomal RNA
Source: RNAcentral
GACGAACGCUGGCGGCGUGCUUAACACAUGCCAGUCGAACGGAAAGGCCCUGCUUUUGUGGGGUGCUCGAGUGGCGAACGGGUGAGUAACACGUGAGUAACCUGCCCUUGACUUUGGGAUAACUUCAGGAAACUGGGGCUAAUACCGGAUAGGAGCUCCUGCUGCAUGGGGGGGGUUGGAAAGUUGCGGCGGGUGGGGAUGGACUCGCGGCUUAUCAGCUUGUUGGUGGGGUAGUGGCUUACCAAGGCUUGGACGGGUAGCCGGCCGGACGAGGUGACCGGCCGCAUCGCGGGGGAUGUGACACCGAGACGCCUACGAGGGGCAGCAGGGGGGAGUAAUGCCCAGUAGUGGGAGGACGGAUGCAGGAGCGCCGCGGGCGGGAGGACGACCUUCUGGUGGUAGACCACUUUCGCCUGUGACGAAGCGACAAUGACGGUAAUGGGUAAAGAAGCACCGGCUAACUACGUG